RNAcentral lists this ribosomal RNA (437 nucleotides) under uncultured bacterium. Its description in RNAcentral is "bacterial SSU rRNA". It matches the Rfam family "Bacterial small subunit ribosomal RNA", at positions 954 to 1392 of the family's 1533-position model. The record is from RNAcentral.
GCAUAACGCGAAGAACCUUACCAGGGCUUGACAUCCCUCUGACCCCUCUAGAGAUAGAGGUUCUCUUCGGAGCAGAGGUGACAGGUGGUGCAUGGUUGUCGUCAGCUCGUGUCGUGAGAUGUUGGGUUAAGUCCCGCAACGAGCGCAACCCUUGUCCUUAGUUGCCAGCAUUUAGUUGGGCACUCUAAGGAGACUGCCGUCGACAAGACGGAGGAAGGUGGGGAUGACGUCAAAUCAUCAUGCCCCUUAUGUCCUGGGCUACACACGUGCUACAAUGGAUGGUACAACGGGCUGCGAACUCGCGAGAGCAAGCCAAUCCCAAAAAACCAUUCUCAGUUCGGAUUGUAGGCUGCAACUCGCCUACAUGAAGUCGGAAUCGCUAGUAAUCGCGGAUCAGCAUGCCGCGGUGAAUACGUUCCCGGGUCUUGUACACACCG